Molecule: ribosomal RNA, 390 nt
Filed under: uncultured Chrysophyceae
Lineage: Eukaryota; Chrysophyceae
Description: partial small subunit ribosomal RNA
Rfam family: Eukaryotic small subunit ribosomal RNA
Source: RNAcentral
GCUUGUCUCAAAGAUUAAGCCAUGCAUGUCUUAGUGUAAAUAACUCUUAUGAAACUGCGAAUGGCUCAUUAAAUCAGUUAUCGUUUAUUUGAUGGUUCUUGCUACUUGGAUAACCGUAGUAAUUCUAGAGCUAAUACAUGCAUCAAACCCCGACUCCUGGAAGGGGUGUAUUUAUUAGAUGGAAACCAAUGCGGGGCAACCCGGAUUCUGGUGAUUCAUAAUAACUUUCGGAUCGAUCCUCGGAUCGAUGCAUCAUUCAAGUUUCUGCCCUAUCAGCUUUGGAUGGUAGGGUAUUGGCCUACCAUGGCUUUAACGGGUAACGGAGAAUUAGGGUUCGAUUCCGGAGAGGGAGCCUGAGAAAUGGCUACCACAUCCAAGGAAGGCAGCAGG